This is a long non-coding RNA of Papaver somniferum (opium poppy), 469 nucleotides long. RefSeq lists it as uncharacterized. NCBI's taxonomy places the organism in Eukaryota, Viridiplantae, Streptophyta, Magnoliopsida, Ranunculales, Papaveraceae. The record is from RefSeq and is a predicted model, not a curated record. The transcript is spliced from 4 exons.
AAUACUAUUCCGCCUCCCUGCUUUCACCAAUCAGGUCAUUUGCCUGCUUGCUAGAUGAAAUUGGUCAUUUAUUUCUGGUGUGCAGAAGAUCUAACAAAGUUAACACUGCUAAACAAGUUCUCAACAGAGACACGAACUCGAUGUAUGGUCCCCAUCCUGAUGCUGGGGCUUCAUGGUUUCCCUGGGUAGUCAAUUAAGUUUCCAUGUCUGAAUCCUGUUCCGAUCGCACUUUGCCAUCAACGGAUUGAACAAAUGUAUUUUUUCCACUGUGGAAGUUGAAGACGACUCAAACACUAAUGAUAGCCACGAAGAAGGCCCACGCUGAUGAAACGAUUCAAAUGACGGGUGAGGAAGCUGACGUAUGAGUUCCAACUCACCGUUAGAAAAUUAGAUUGAAUAAGGCAUUCCGAAUAUUUAGUUCUCUAUAUUUUAUGUUUGCUUUGUUUGCACACCAUGUUAUCAAAUCUAU